CCUACGGGAGGCAGCAGUGAGGAAUAUUGGUCAAUGGGCGCGAGCCUGAACCAGCCAAGUAGCGUGAAGGAUGACUGCCCUACGGGUUGUAAACUUCUUUUAUAAAGGAAUAAAGUGAGGCACGUGUGCCUUUUUGUAUGUACUUUAUGACUAAGGAUCGGCUAACUCCGUGCCAGCAGCCGCGGUAAUACGGAGGAUCCGAGCGUUAUCCGGAUUUAUUGGGUUUAAAGGAAGCGUAUAUGGGUUGUUAAGUCAUGUGUGAAAGGUUGCGGAUAAAACGUAAAAUUGCAAUUGAUACUGGCAGCCUUGGUGACAGUUGAGGUAGGCGGAAUUCGUUGUGUAGGAGUGAAAUGCUUAGAUAUCACGAAGAACUCCGAUUGCGAAGGCAGCCUAAUAAACUGCCACUGACAUUGAUGCUCGAAAGUGUGGGUAUCAAACAGGAGUAGAUACCCGAGUAGUC
This 460-nucleotide ribosomal RNA is filed under the name uncultured bacterium. Its description in RNAcentral is "partial 16S ribosomal RNA". It matches the Rfam family "Bacterial small subunit ribosomal RNA", at positions 338 to 795 of the family's 1533-position model. The record is from RNAcentral.